This 462-nucleotide ribosomal RNA is filed under the name uncultured bacterium. RNAcentral's name for it is "partial 16S ribosomal RNA". It matches the Rfam family "Bacterial small subunit ribosomal RNA", at positions 28 to 507 of the family's 1533-position model. The record is from RNAcentral.
GACGAACGCUGGCGGCGUGCUUAACACAUGCAAGUCGAGCGGAAAGGCCCUUCGGGGUACUCGAGCGGCGAACGGGUGAGUAACACGUGAGUAACCUGCCCCAGACUUUGGGAUAACCCUCGGAAACGGGGGCUAAUACCGGAUACGACACAGCUUCGCAUGGGGUCUGUGUGGAAAGUUUUUCGGUUUGGGAUGGGCUCGCGGCCUAUCAGCUUGUUGGUGGGGUGAUGGCCUACCAAGGCGACGACGGGUAGCCGGCCUGAGAGGGCGACCGGCCACACUGGGACUGAGACACGGCCCAGACUCCUACGGGAGGCAGCAGUGGGGAAUAUUGCACAAUGGGCGGAAGCCUGAUGCAGCGAUGCCGCGUGAGGGAUGACGGCCUUCGGGUUGUAAACCUCUCUCAGCAGGAACGAAGCGUAAGUGACGGUACCUGCAGAAGAAGCGCCGGCCAACUACGUG